GAGAUCGAAAAACAGCAUGGUCUGCCGUUUGCGCAAGAUUUCCACAUCAAAGGACUUGGCAUAGAGCAAAAGAUUCUUCUCGCGGUCAAAGAGUUCAAAGAGCUCGGGAAAAUUUGGAAAGCAUGUCUCCUCGUAAAAGUUGGACUUCAGGUUAAGGGCCGUCAGUCCGGACUUCUUAUCGGCAUGGGCCACCUGCAGUCGAUGUGGACGCCCAUUGAAGUAGUAAUCCUUGAGGUGCUGCACUCGAAGUACUUUACUCGGAUUCCGAUGGUUCAGAUUGGGGCCAGAUGUCGUCGUCGGUGGGCGCAACGUUGUGGUCUUCCUUGUUGUGUUCUCCGACUCUUGAAGGAUGGGAUUGAUUUUCAUCGGCUGAUAGUCCAAGCCGAUGCCGGGUAUGUGUCGGAAGGGCAGUGGGGGUACGGGUAUGUAAUAUAUUUUCGAGUCCUUUUUCGUUUUUUUCGUCUUACUGCCGUUCUGGUUGUACUUGCGCAGAUUCAGCGGCUUCGAUGUGACCACGUAGUCCAUGUACAAGUUGUCCAGCGAGGGCGACUGCACCACAAUCCGGUUGGCCAAUCUCGUGGGAGGCGCUUCUGCCCGUGGACCAUAGGAAUAGGGUCGAGCUGCCACCAAAUUGGCCAAGAUGAUUAGAGAUGCCAGUGGAAGCAGCGGAGACAUUCUGGAAAUAGACACAAAGUCUGCCAACGGCGCUGCCGCCGCCUCUGCCGACUUCGCUGCCUUUCUGUCGUCAUCAGCGGCAACUGGAUUUAUUAUUGUGUGAGGUCCCAGUCGAUGAAGACCGGAGAAUUAACUGGUUCCCCGUAUGGCAGAUGAUCUUCGGAUGUUGAGCGGCCAUAAGUUAGCCAGUUUAUUGUUUGUCCACUUACUGUUACACUUGCAAAUUGCACUUGGCGGGAUUUGCCUGCACCGCAUGUGCCAUUUGCUUAACAAAUUCAUCAGUCUUGCAUUUCUCGGCUCUCCGACCAAAAGUGAGCAGGAAAUCCAACACCACUUGACCAGUCGGUGGGCUCUCGAUUGGAUUACACCUCGGCGGGCAGCUUCUUUAAGCCUCUGGAAAGAUAGAAAGACAGGGGACUUGUCCUUAACCCGUGAUUAAAAAAAUUAUAUUUUAAAGUAGCAUUUUAGAAACGUAUUAGUAUUUUAAUUUUCUAAAUAUGAAUUUUUUUUGUUGGUAAUAUUAUUAUUAAUCUUCAACUAAUUGGAACAAAUUUCCGAUAUACAACUGUAUAUAUUUGCAUACAUUUGAAUCUUUUCUCCGUUUGUUUUGAUAACACGGAUUGAAUAAUGUUUACAAAUCAAUUUGGGAAUUUUCGUCUUUUUCUUACUAUUCUUAAUUUUUGCACAUUUUUUUAAGAUUGUUUUUAAAGAUACCUCAUUAUGCUUUUAACUCCCAACUCUUUUGAAACAUGAUAAACGUAGCCUAUUGUUUGAAGAAAGACACCUGAUUAAAUGGCUAAACAAAAAAGUAUUAUGAUAAUACUGAUAUCUCUUGUAAGAAAGAGAAGGGUUAAGAGCUUGUGCCCGACUUCAGUUCGGGAUUUGAAUCGGGGUCUAGUUCGCCCGGCAGCUCCUUUGUCUUUACGAUACUGUGCACAAAUUAGUUACAAAUGAACCUACGACAACAAAAGCUGCUGGGGGUAACACGAAGCCUUCGUUGAGGUAGGGUUUUAGGUCUCGGUCCGGUCUGGUUUUCUCUUUUUUGCAACUGGCUUAAGGUGUGCUUUUUCGGUUUGGCUUAUUGACAGGCCACCGGGCAGCUCCAGCUCCAACUCCAACUCCCUGAGAACUCUGAGAUGCGUGUGGCGCUCCAAGGGAUCUGUGCGUUUUGGCCCUCAUCAUAAUGUAAUUGGAGUGGCAAAUGGUGUUCGUGGCAUUUUUCUAAACACUUUUGCGUGAGCUGCUGACGUUGAUUGCUGGUUGUUGGUUGAUUAAAAGAGGAUUCCCUCGACCUUGCAGCUGCCAUGUGUGAAAGCCGUGACCCAUUAAGCUAGAAUUAUCCUUGCUAAAUCAUCGAAAAAUCUCCUAACCCAUGGCGAAUAUUGGGCAAACAUGCUUUAAUUAAAUGACUUCCUUUUGAGGCACAGUUUUAUGAGCCGUUAAUUAAACAAGUAAAAGCAACUGACACGCUGAGGGAUUACGUAAAAGCAUUUCCAACUUUCCCAGGGCCCAGACAUCUUUCACCAGCGCGGAUCUUGAACCACAAAGACAAUCUAAAAUUUUGGGCUAUAAAAUAAAACAAAUGACAUAACCGCAAAUACACCAAGAGUACAACUUCCCAGCUUCUGUCUGGUUGUUGAGGCACUUUAAAUAUUAAUUAGCCGUGGCAGCAGAACUCCCGGCAAUUAGGCCUCCGGUUUAAAGUGUGUGUUGAAGUGCGUAAGCUCUCGCAUGUGCCAAAUGGCCAAUGGAAUCGGAAUCUAUAUAUAUACAUAUAUAUAGAUAUAUGGAAAAUACCCGUUCUCACAGCAAACUGCACGCACCACCUGCCAGCAGAACGGUCAGUCAGGGGCCUAAUUGUAAUUGUUAACGAUUAGCCAACACAAAUCACGAACAAGCUGCAAACGCCACUUUCUGGGCAUCUGUAACGUCUUCGUGCCUCUGAUUCAGCUGACUCCGAUACUGAUACUGAUUCUGGCUCAGACCCAUUUCAGGCGCCUUGUGUGAACCGAGUUUUAGGCAUUAUUAAGAGUAAUAUGUUUAAUGCUGACGGAAGCAAUACGAGUAGAUGGCCCGAGCACGGGGCACCAAAACAGACAGCUGGGAGUGCACUUGUCGAAAAAAUUUUAGAUACUACAUACACGUAUUUUAAUUUACUAAAGAGAAUUGACAUUAAAAAUGGGGAACAUCAUGGAUAGUCUGGUAUAAUCAAAUCUCAAGUGUAGCUUAAAUUUUCCUUUUAGAUAAUAAACCAGUUGAGUGCAUCAUUUGUUUUGCUAUAAGGAACAGAUUCUUAUAUGUUUUUCUCUGUGCACAGAACCCAGCCGUGUUUAUCAACCUCGCCAAAGUCAUCAACAGACUCGAUCUCAGUUUCUGACUGGGACCCAGUAGUCUUGGCCGGUGUCUUCAUGUCUGAAUGACAGACACACUCUUAACUCUUAACUCCUAACUCCCAACUCCAAACUCUCGGCUCUGGUAUGUUGUCUCUGCACUGCGACUGCCGGCGCUUGCGUGUUUGGCUACUGAAUUUUUAAGCAUUUGCCAGCACGCCGUGAAGUGAAGUUGAUGGUGAGAGGGCUGGGGCUCUUAGGCUUCAUUUACAUUGGCAACGUUUUAAUUAGCCGCUUAUAAAGACACACAGCGUCGGGCUACAAGAUCCAUUUAGAUGAAUGGCGGGAACACCCACCGCCAGUGAGUGGUACGUCACUGCAAAGCCGACUAAUCAGCCGGCUUAAAUCGCAACGAUUAUAUAUGGGCCAAUUAUAGCGAAUCUUUUAUUGUCGAUAAAUUCGCAGGUUCAUUAAACCCACAGAGCCCAUAAACUGACUCACAUGUGGGGUUCGGGCACUUUAAGCUAAGCCUUUGUCUCCAUCACCAUCUCUACCAUCUCCAACUGCGUCUCCGGCGUUUGGUUUUUUGUCAUUCGGGGUGCUUGGCAUGUGGACACCACAUCGGAUCUCCAUCGAAUGCAUUCGGAAUGAAGCUGUAGACUUACGCAACCGCAACGCUAUGUCAACCAUCCCGAUUCGGCGGUGCACUUGGCAUUUCUGAGAGUUUAGGCCCCCUGGAUAUCGGGGUCAUAACUGCCAACACGUCGCCAGCUCAGCGACUUUCAUCGAAAGUCAAAUAUUUGUGGAGCACGCAGAAAGAAAAGUGUAACGAAAGGAAAAGACCUGCUAGCCAGCCAUCGAUUGUCAGCCGCAAAAUUCAAUAUUUGCUCAUCCGUUCCAAAACGUUUAGCGAAUUCUUGCGCGGGAUUUGUGAAAGUCCCCGGGGGCAGGGAGCAGGUUAAAAUGGGCGUUGCGAUUUCCAGUGGAGCUUGGCCUCCACCGACAACGAAUGGGGGCGAUUGGCUGGCGAAUUGGAUUGCCAGUUGGCUGUCCAAGAUCCAUUGAGUCUGGGUCUAUUGAGUCAUAACCAGGGGCUCAAGUGGUUCGGGGAAAGAGCUCUUCAAGCUGUCCAGCGAAGAAAGAAAGAGUGACUGAGUGAGUACAUAGGAGAGUAAGCAGAAGUCCAGGGGAUUCCCCAUGUUCUAAUUGCUGCAAUCUGUUUUACUAGCUUAUUUGACAACCGUUUAAAUAAGCUAAUAAAUAACUAAAUAAUCCGUACAUUUUUGAAGAACCUCUUUUUCAAAUAAAUAUAACUGUUGCUUUUUCAAUUUUUUAAAAUAUUCCUUUUUAUACGCUUAUAUUAGCCUAUAAUUAGUUUGAAACCAGUAAACCAAAGUGGAACAAAAAUUAGCAAGAAAUACAAUAGUUUUUAAAGUUUCCGAAAUAUGUCAAGGCAAUGGCAGCUGAAUAAAACAAAAAUUGCUAACUAUUAUUUUGCGUGCUUGCGAUCUGUGAUCAUCAAUUACUUUCGACCUUCGGCUGUCAUCAAAGAUCAAUUGUCUUUGAAGAUGCGUAUCUUGACAUGGCUGACAUGACAUGUAAAUCCUUAGCCAUAUAGAGCUUGACCAGGUCUUCCGAAGGCAUCAUCACCUCCCACACCGAAUUAAGAUUUCACCGAUACAUGUCUUUCCGACCUGGUGAUUUAUACUGGCCAUAUAGCCGACCAGCGAAACUUUCCAAGUGGCCAACAAUCAGAGCAAGCGAAUAAUAGACAUAUGUGUGUAUUGAUCGUAAAUGAUUGCUUUAUAGCCUUUUUCAGUGGCUGGAGGAUUUUAAAACGUCCCAUCAAAUGGCACAAAAAUUCUUUGGCUUUUCCAUUAAUGAGCGAGAAGUAAGUUUUAGAUAAUUGAAAACCAGUUGCGCAGUUAAAAGGAAAAGCAGACGAAAUCCCAACCGAACGGCAAACAUAAUAUACCCUGAUCUUUGUAUUGUAAUUGCGUUAAAUGCAUUAAUUAGCCGGCCAGCGAACGAGAAAGAAAUCAUUGGAAACAACGUUAAUUACCCGGCGGCUUAUAUAGUUUUGGCUGCUCGCCGACGGCAGCAAAAGCGAACUAUUAUUUCAAUUGGAAUUUAAUUUCGAGAGUGGGCAUUGUUUGUAUUUGCCAUCUCUAAAGGUGGCCUAAAUGCGAAUUGCCAGGGCUUGCAAAAAAGUUCGCCCCACGGCCGAUCCCAUCCGUCGACCUUGAGAGCCAAACGAGCCAUUAAUGGCAUCCCAAGUCACAUUUGGUCUGGCCUGACCCUUUUCACGGUGUCAUUAAACCCGGUUUCUGCAGAAUCCAUCUAGUUAGCGGUCGGCCCGGAAUCCUCCACGCACAUCGCAUCUUAUCGUCCGUCCAAAAGAUCAACCAAUGCCACCAUCAGCGACACUUAAGCUGUUAUCAAUGUAUCUAUUUUCAUUGCUUUUAAACUGCUGAAAUGGCCAUUAUUGUCUCCCCUCAGCCAAC
This is a long non-coding RNA of Drosophila yakuba, 5509 nucleotides long. RefSeq lists it as uncharacterized. The record is from RefSeq and is a predicted model, not a curated record. The transcript is spliced from 3 exons. NCBI's taxonomy places the organism in Eukaryota, Metazoa, Arthropoda, Insecta, Diptera, Drosophilidae.